This 27-nucleotide non-coding RNA is filed under the name Cricetulus griseus (Chinese hamster). Lineage: Eukaryota; Metazoa; Chordata; Mammalia; Rodentia; Cricetidae. The record is from RNAcentral.
CCUUAGGAUAUUUAUGAGAUUGUUGUC